GGGGACGAACGCCCUGACAGGUGGGCCCACCUGACAGUGGCAACGGGCGCGCGCGCGGCGCCGGGCCGGUUCGGUUCGGGCUGGCUCGGGGGAUGCGGGGCCGGCUCGGCCCAAAACGGCCGAGCCGGUCCGGUUUUUCCCUUUUUUUUCUUUUAGCCUUUUCUUUUUAUUUUGAACUCUAAAUUGGUCCAAAUAAAUCUCAGAAAAUUUGUAAAAUCAUGUUUUAUCAUGAUUCAACUUUUGGGAGUAAUUUCCUUUCAAAAUAAAAUAUAUAAAAAUACAUUUACCCUAUAAAUGCCUUUAGGGAUUUACCCAAUAAAUGCCUUUAGGGCUAUAUAACUAUUUAAAUAAAAUAGUUUUUCAACUCCAAAUAAUUAUCCAAAAAAAUAUGGGAUAGCUUACUUAUGCAAUAAACCCCUUUUAUAUAUAAACUCUAUUGGUUUGAAGAUCCAAAGCUCCAAUACGUGUAAACGCUAGGGUUUAAAUUGAAAUAAAAUAUUUUGAGAUUCAAAUUUGAAUUCAAAUAUGUAAUGGUGGCAUG
This 541-nucleotide long non-coding RNA is filed under the name Brachypodium distachyon (stiff brome). RNAcentral describes it as "long non-coding RNA (BDIS_LNC002447)". The record is from RNAcentral. Lineage: Eukaryota; Viridiplantae; Streptophyta; Magnoliopsida; Poales; Poaceae.